RNAcentral lists this ribosomal RNA (498 nucleotides) under uncultured bacterium. RNAcentral describes it as "partial 16S ribosomal RNA". It matches the Rfam family "Bacterial small subunit ribosomal RNA", at positions 30 to 523 of the family's 1533-position model. The record is from RNAcentral.
AUUGAACGCUGGCGGCAUGCCUUACACAUGCAAGUCGAACGGUAACAGGUCUUCGGAUGCUGACGAGUGGCGAACGGGUGAGUAAUACAUCGGAACGUGCCUAGUAGUGGGGGAUAACUACUCGAAAGAGUGGCUAAUACCGCAUGAGAUCUACGGAUGAAAGCAGGGGAUCGCAAGACCUUGUGCUACUAGAGCGGCCGAUGGCAGAUUAGGUAGUUGGUGGGAUAAAAGCUUACCAAGCCGACGAUCUGUAGCUGGUCUGAGAGGACGAUCAGACACACUGGGACGGGGACACGGCACAGAGUCCGACGGGAGGCAGCAGUGGGGAAUUUUGGACAAUGGGGGCAAGCCUGAUCCAGCAAUGCCGCGUGCAGGAUGAAGGCCUUCGGGUUGUAAACUGCUUUUGUACGGAACGAAAAGCCCCGGGUUAAUACCCUGGGGUCAUGACGGUACCGUAAGAAUAAGCACCGGCUAACUACGUGCCAGCAGCCGCCGUAA